Molecule: ribosomal RNA, 331 nt
Filed under: uncultured bacterium
Lineage: Bacteria
Description: bacterial SSU rRNA
Rfam family: Bacterial small subunit ribosomal RNA
Source: RNAcentral
CGCGUAGACGGUUUGGUAAGUCAGGUGUGAAAUCCCCGGGCUCAACCUGGGAACUGCAUUUGAUACUGCCUGGCUAGAGUAUGGAAGAGGGAAGUGGAAUUUCCGGUGUAGCGGUGAAAUGCGUAGAUAUCGGAAGGAACACCAGUGGCGAAAGCGACUUCCUGGUCCAAUACUGACGUUCAUGUGCGAAAGCGUGGGGAGCAAACAGGAUUAGAUACCCUGGUAGUCCACGCCAUAAACGAUGACAACUAGAUGUUGGGAGGGUCUGCCUCUCGGUGUCGCAGCUAACGCGUUAAGUUGUCCGCCUGGGGAGUACGGCCGCAAGGUUGAA